AAUGAACGCUGGCGGCGGGCCUAAAACAUGCAAGUCGAACGCCUGUAGCAAUACAGGAGUGGCGCACGGGUGCGUAACACGUGGGAAUAUGCCUAUUGGUACGGAACAGCUCCGGGAAACUGGAAUUAAUACCGUAUGGUCCCUUCGGGGUAAAGAUUUAUCGCCAAUAGAUUAGCCCGCGGUGGAUUAGCUAGUUGGUAGGGUAAUGGCCUACCAAGGCGACGAUCCAUAGCUGGUCUGAGAGGACGAUCAGCCACACUGGGACUGAGACACGGCCCAGACUCCUACGGGAGGCAGCAGUUAGGAAUAUUGGACAAUGGGCGCAAGCCUGAUCCAGCCAUGCCGCGUGAAUGAUGAAGGCCUUCGGGUUGUAAAACUCUUUAGCCGAUGAAUAUAAUGACUGUAGUCGGAAAAUAAGCCCCGGCUAACUUCGUGCCAGCCGCCGCGGUAA
Molecule: ribosomal RNA, 451 nt
Filed under: uncultured bacterium
Lineage: Bacteria
Description: partial 16S ribosomal RNA
Rfam family: Bacterial small subunit ribosomal RNA
Source: RNAcentral